GCCAGCAGCUAACACUCUGCAUCUCUCAUCUGGUUGCCCACUGUUGAGCUGGUCAGUACCUGGAUGGGAGACCUCCUGGGAAAACUAGGUUGCUGUUGGAA
Molecule: ribosomal RNA, 101 nt
Filed under: Sinocyclocheilus grahami
Lineage: Eukaryota; Metazoa; Chordata; Actinopteri; Cypriniformes; Cyprinidae
Source: RNAcentral